RNAcentral lists this ribosomal RNA (403 nucleotides) under uncultured bacterium. Its description in RNAcentral is "partial 16S ribosomal RNA". It matches the Rfam family "Bacterial small subunit ribosomal RNA", at positions 28 to 526 of the family's 1533-position model. The record is from RNAcentral.
GACGAACGCUGGCGGCGUGCCUACUACAUGCAAGUCGAACGCAGUGGGGACGGGUGAGUAACACGUCGGUAACCUCCCCUCAGAGGGGAUAACACUUGGAUACAGGUGCUAAACCGAUACCGAUGGAUGGACCCUCGGUGCAUUAGCUAGUUGGUGAGGUAACGGCUCACCAAGGCCACGAUGCAUCGCGAAGCAGACGGGGUGAUCGGCCACACGGGGACUGGGACACAGCCCAGACUCCGACGGUAGGCAUCAGUGGGGAAUCUUCGGCAAGGGACGAAAGUCUAACCGAGCAACGCCGCGUUAGGGAAGAAGGUUUUCGGAUCGUAAAACUCGGUUGUUAGAGAAGCGGUAUCUAACCAGAAAGACCCGACUAACUACGUGCCAGCAGCCGCGGUAAUAC